Long non-coding RNA from Varroa destructor (honeybee mite), 2872 nucleotides. The record is from RefSeq and is a predicted model, not a curated record. Lineage: Eukaryota; Metazoa; Arthropoda; Arachnida; Mesostigmata; Varroidae.
AAAAUCUGAAAGCACUGGUGCGUUAUUGGCGCGUACCGCUACCGCUACCGCUGCCGCCAUUACCAACACCUUCACCAGCAGUGUAAGAUUAAUUUUGAUCAGAUGUUUCCCGCGACCGCUCCCCGAUUUGCUCAGACUUAUUUAGCAUAAGUUUACGUAUGCCGCGUCAGCGCGGCGCGCAACUGUCUUCCAUUACCUUUAUCGGUGGGCGGACUUGGACGCCAAGACGAAAAAACUGUGCUUACAAGGCUUAGUUUCAUCUAAUACUUAUGCUCUACAGAACUGCUUGAUACAUACAGUCACAACAUCACGUAGGGCUACAAAUUGAUGGCGAUGGCAACAACCUCGUAGUGAAAAAGGUAAUGCUGGUAACAAAAAUCAAGCCUGCAAUUUAUCAGCGUUACUGCUAAGAAACAUAUUCAUCCACAAUUAGUGGCAUCAUUGAAUCGAAUGAGGUAAAUGAUAAAUUCGGACUUCAACUAGGUAUAACGAGUACACAUGCUGCGUUGGAAAAUGGAGGAGUUACAGAUACCUUUUCUUAUUAUUAUUAUGAGUACGGUUAAUCUUGUCCUUCGUGCGUUCCUUACAUAUAUCGAAGGAAGCUCAGUCUGAAGGCUCGUUGAAGAUAGAUAUCCGUUGAAAAGCUCUUCUACUAUGUCGAGUUGUUACGCCACAGAACGAUAAUCUCUCGAUCCAUGUGCUUGUAUAGAAUUAGGUUGCCACUCUGUCUAGCCACAUAACCUACUUAACUGCUCUGAAUUAAUUGUACUAUUCCUGCUCUAACGAAAAGUUACAGGUUGAAAAUCAUCGUUGGCAAAAUAAGUCCACAAAGGCAAAGGUAUAAACCGCACUGGGUUACCACAGGAUUCUUGUUUCAUGUUAAAUGCUAUUGAAAAGAUCAUUGUACAUAACUGAUAUAGGUUGGCUUCCAACAAAAGCUAACUAGGGGUAAAGUCGAUUAACUGUACCUUAAAAGUUUCAGAACGGAACUAUUAUUAUAUUAUGGUUAUUUGUAAUGUAUUUUCAACUUAAACUUCGGUUGAUGAUUUGUAUCAGUCAAGCCUACCGUUUUGUUUAGUGAAACGCUCCUGAAUUGUACGCGAUUCGUAGUAGGUGUAAUGUGGUACCCGAUCUGACUCCGAUCUAAAGGUGCAACGCAUUUCCAAUGUGCUGCAGCUGAAAUCGGACCACGUCUACAAAGGCUCAGCUUAUUUGUACCGGGGCACGUCAACACGAUCUAGAUAUUAUCGAUAAUAUGUUAUCCUUCGAGGAACCUACGCCGUGUGAUUUACCUGUUUCCAGAAGAUAAUUAUGUAAAUAUUCAUCGAUAAAUUCAUCCCUACCUAGUGAAGCUUUUUCUACUUCAAUGCACCGCAACUGAUUAUGCUCAUCGAGUCAAGUUCUGUUGACAACUGCUAUUUAAGCAAUAUAAGCUUACGGCGGAUUGCAGAUUUUAGCGGCGGGCAGGCCACAUUAAAAUGCAGCAGAAGGUCCUGUGCUUUAUAGAACGCAAGAUAAACAUGGCCCGAGCACUUAAGCUAAAUGUUAGCUUGUUUAUCCUUGCCCGAACACCAACCGCCGCAUAAAUUUCCCAGAGGACAUUUACGACGACGAGUCGACGGCUGCGAUGCUCCGGGAUGAGGCGCCGUAACGCUUGAACGGGAUGCAGUGGCGACUUUGGCCUGCUCGUUCGCCAGAAACAGUCUUAAUAAGUCGAGGCCUUGAGAAUGCUCAACCCAUCAGCCGACCUAUUCGAGUUAGGCAAGCCCUUCGGACAGAAAAUAUUGACUGAAUAAAUGGCCGAACUUUUGCCUCGAAUUGUACCGCCAAUCAACAUUGCUUUAGACGGCUGGAUACUUCCAAUCAUGUGUUUUGUUCGUUUUCGAACCUACAUCGCCUUAUCGGGUUCAGUAGGGAAACACGUUACCACUGUACCACCACGGAGUAAAGAGCACGAUUUUAUCGAUCUGUAGUCGUGUUGGACCGCCUAGGGAAAUAAGCAGAUCAUUGGCUAGCUAAAGCUCAGUUUUGAUCAGGUAAGCCACGCAUUGCGACGAGAGCUCGCAUCAAGAUAGCGAGCCCGCUCUGGCAAGCACUCGUUUUGCGCCCCCACAGAAGCCACGAUCAUAACUGGAAUGAUUAGCAAGACGGAAGCGGAAAGAGACGCGUUGCGAUACAGGACACGGAAAGCUGUAGGAUGGAAAUAUGCCACACAAUGACCGGAUCGGAAACUCUAUAAACGAAAUGGAAAAUAUGACUUGGUAGAGAUUAACUGCAAUAUCGACACGGGGCGGUUUAGGUUCGAAACCGGGUGUAAACACGCUUCGUUCUAUGCUCGUAGAGGCCAGCCGUCUAAAGCAGUGAUUAACGGCAACACUGCCUGUAAAAACUCGAAGCAUCUAUAGAAAAUUAUUCUGUAGAAAAUUAUUAUUAAAAGGUUAUGUAGGGCUGGGGCAUAUGGCUGUGAAAAACUGAUUUGUGCCAGGCAACAUGCAGAAUUAAAGACUUUAGAGCUAGAGACUAGCCAUAUGUGUUUACAUUCAGGAACAGUUUAUUGAUCCCCGCUACCAUGCUAGUACCGUUAGAGACAGCUGGUUUAUAAUGGUGUUCAGCAUCUAAUCCAGUUGCCUGUCUGCGCUAACGACGAAAAACGAGGCAAAAAAUAAACCUAAUAUCGAUAUUCGUGUAGAAUGCUCACUGCGUCGUUCGAUAGCGGUAGAGGAAUUGCAUCAGCGACCAAGCAAGCGCUAUAGUUAUAAUGCGUGUAAUGUAAUAAUGAAAAAUCGCGCUAUACCAGUGAUAUUAGCGUUUAAAAUAUUAAGUUCAACGCGUUCCCGUUGCCCUGAACCAAUUGCUUCAUCCCUUUCUCUCG